This 468-nucleotide ribosomal RNA is filed under the name uncultured bacterium. RNAcentral's name for it is "partial 16S ribosomal RNA". It matches the Rfam family "Bacterial small subunit ribosomal RNA", at positions 28 to 507 of the family's 1533-position model. The record is from RNAcentral.
GACGAACGCUGGCGGCGUGCUUAACACAUGCAAGUCGAACGGAAAGGCCCUGCUUUUGUGGGGUGCUCGAGUGGCGAACGGGUGAGUAACACGUGAGUAACCUGCCCUUGACUUUGGGAUAAAUUCAGGAAACUGGGGCUAAUACCGGAUAGGAGCUCCUGCUGCAUGGUGGGGGUUGGAAAGUUUCGGCGGUUGGGGAUGGACUCGCGGCUUAUCAGCUUGUUGGUGGGGUAGUGGCUUACCAAGGCUUUGACGGGUAGCCGGCCUGAGAGGGUGACCGGCCACAUGGGGACUGAGGUACGGCCCAGAAUCCAACGGGAGGCAGCAGUGGGGAAUAUUGCACAAUGAGCGGAAGCCUGAUGCAGCAACGCCGCGUGCGGGAUGACGGCCUUCGGGUUGUAAACCGCUUUCGCCUGUGACGAAGCGUGAGUGACGGUAAUGGGUAAAGAAGCACCGGCUAACUACGUG